RNAcentral lists this ribosomal RNA (433 nucleotides) under uncultured bacterium. RNAcentral's name for it is "partial 16S ribosomal RNA". It matches the Rfam family "Bacterial small subunit ribosomal RNA", at positions 29 to 507 of the family's 1533-position model. The record is from RNAcentral.
AACGAACGCUGGCGGCAGGCCUAACACAUGCAAGUCGAGCGGACCCUUCGGGGUUAGCGGCGGACGGGUGAGUAACGCGUGGGAAUAUGCCCUUCUCUACGGAAUAGUCCUGGGAAACUGGGGGUAAUACCGUAUACGCCCUUUGGGGGAAAGAUUUAUCGGGGAAGGAUUAGCCCGCGUUGGAUUAGGUAGUUGGUGGGGUAAUGGCCUACCAAGCCGACGAUCCAUAGCUGGGUUGAGAGGAUGAUCAGCCACACUGGGACUGAGACACGGCCCAGACUCCUACGGGAGGCAGCAGUGGGGAAUCUUAGACAAUGGGGGCAACCCUGAUCGAGCCAUGCCGCGUGAGUGAUGAAGGCCUUAGGGUUGUAAAGCUCUUUCAGCUGGGAAGAUAAUGACGGUACCAGCAGAAGAAGCCCCGGCUAACUCCGUG